Mus caroli (Ryukyu mouse) is the source of this 597-nucleotide non-coding RNA. NCBI's taxonomy places the organism in Eukaryota, Metazoa, Chordata, Mammalia, Rodentia, Muridae. The record is from RefSeq and is a predicted model, not a curated record.
CACAAGUUCUGUGCUCAACUUCGCCGCUCUUAAAGAGACCCGGGAUCCCUCUGGAGAGGCCCUCGGGAGCUGGCGGCAGGGCUGGGAGAGGCGUGGGGAUGGCUAUGCCAGGUAAAACUGGCUCAUCUCAACCUAUCUUUUGAGUACCACUACCUGCCAAAGGGUCAUAGAAGAGGUUGCUGCUUGCUACACUUUACAUCAAUGAAGAAUGGAUCCCUCUGGACUGAGAAGGCUCAGGAAGCUUACAGUACGUGCUUGGAAUUUCUCAUGCCGAAGACUGAAUCGACUCUACAGGCAGCAAACACAACAUACAAAAGACAACGAUGACAUCCAAAACUCUAUGACAACAGAUUAUUUCACAGGCUCUAAGCAAUUAAAAACAUUGCUAAGGCAGCCAGCAAGAGUGGCUCUGAGGGUCAAGGUCCUUGGGGCCAAGCUUGAGGACCUCAGUCAGAUCCCAAACCUCACUACAGAAAAGAGAACUGGCUCGUGCAAGUUGUCUUUGACCUCCGCACAAGCCAGGUAUGCUCCGGCACGCACCCCAUCACAAAUAAGUAUAAAAAAGUUUAGAAUAUUUCUAAAGGGAAAGUGUCUCUG